CCUAUGUCCCCCUGCCCCUCCCCUCGGGCGCAAAUCACGCCACAGAUUAGCACGCCCACCCCACGCCUCCCUUUCGAUCGCCACCAGCGCCGCUCCCCUCCCCUUCCGGCCGCCACCACGCGCUCCUCCGCACCGAACCGCCGCCCCACGUUCCUCCGCGCCAGACCGCCGUCGUCUUAGUUCUCCAGGAUCCAACACCAAGCUCGCGACGAAGGGCUUGGAGCUGGCGGCGAGAAGGUGCUCGAGGUCGCCUCCUUCUCCACAGCCGCGCCCCGGGAUGGGAGCCUCCGCAUGCUCCUGCUCUGGCGAUGACGCAUCCAUUCUUCCACUUGACCACUCCAUCCCCUGCUACUUGUGUGCCGCCUCGGAUCUCCAUCUCGAUCUGUGAUGUGCUCGCUGGUGCCGUUGAAGCCGGAUCCCGUGCUUCUCAAAUCGGCGGGUCUUCUCUCCCUCCCUUCUUUCUCCAAUCUCCAUCCCCUACCCGUUGGUAAUUCUAGACGAUGAUGCAUACUUCAUGUAAAUCCAAUGUUGUUUGUUCGGAUAGUAAUGCACAAAGUUCGGCGUAUGCUGUUCUCGGUUCAGUGCUAACAGAUCCUGUAAUGUCUCAAUUUCAUUUAUCCUAUCAUCAUUUGGGUCUAGCAAAUUUAUGUUCAUGCCUACAUCUAUAGUAGCCCCUUCAGAGUUGUAACUUAUAAUGUAAACUGUUAGUGCUUAUAUGCUUAGUACUUAUGGCUGUCAUGCUGAUACUCAUGCAGUAUGUAGGACACGAUUGGAGACUCUAGAAUUUGCAUUCAUUCAACGGUUAUUAUUUUUAGAACAGUGCAUGUUGUGAUUGAUGAUGGUGGAAAUUGGAGGGAUUCUAUUUACUUAUUUUUGUGAGGAGGAAUUAUCUCCAAGGUUGCCAAACCUGCUGAGGUAUUAAAUAUUGUAGAUUAUAAAAAGAACAAUGGAUUUAAAAAAGUGUUCUUGUUUAGGAUGAGCAGGCAACAAGCCCAAGUACUAUAUAUUAUCCUAUACAUUUCCUUUAUUAACACAAAUGGCAAUUCUGUAAUCUGUUAGGCAUUACAUCUCUGUUUUGUGCAGGAAACUUCAGAAAUUAGGCUUUUCUUUAUAAAUGUCUUCACAACACUGGGUUGGCUUCUGUUCCGGUGGUUACAGAAUACUCAUGGGAUUUCAUUUGAAUGUUUAUUCUUGAGAUUAUGCUGAACUAAAUAUGAGCAGUUCAGUGUGGUGUUUGGUUUGAAUGGUGAAUUUUGUGCGGUGUUUCUGCAGGAGUUUUUGAAUCUAAAGCAAGGGUGAGCGCCAAGGAAGGAGGCGCCGCCACGGGCGACGGUGGCGGGGUUGGCCGCUGGCGGCUGUAAUAGUUAAUCAUUGUUGUCAACAUUGGCACACAGGAUUUAGUGGAAGGAAGGUUUUGGGCCAUCAGAUUUCCCUGAGAAUCAAGGGAAAGGAAGAGGAAAGGAAAAUGUUGAUACAUGCUCUGUUGCAAGUGUUCACGUCGCGCAGAAACUACAAUGAAGUUGUCGGGGAGAAGAUCCAGUGAACUCGGCUACAUCGGGUUGGGUCAAAGUGACUGUAAUUCGCAACAGCAGUGCCACGGUUCAGUUCAGCAUGGGGACCAACUACCUCUACAAUGUCCACUCCUACUGGUCUCUGACCUGUCAAACAAGAAGACAUGGUGCAGCUAGCUACUGAAAAGGAGAUGACCGUGGUCCUCUUGACAAGAGGAGAUGACGAAGACGCAGCAGACCAAACCUUUGCGUUCUCCAGUCUCAUGCACAAGGAGUUUCGCAAGAUGGCCAAUGUUGUUAGGAGCCAGGUCACUGGCAACUACUACAUGGCUGACUUGACCAAACCCGCUCUUGCAAGACUUCAAUUUACUGCAACCUGGUUUUUUUUUUGAAAAGGAGGUUACUACAACCUGGUAAAUGAUGAGUAUAAUGAAUGAUGCGCUCAUUACACUGGUUGUGCGAGUAGGUUCAACAUUUGUACCGCAUGACUGUGUUUCCAGAAUUGAUUGGGACAUUCCCCCUUUUCUUUAGAGAUGAAUGGAACAUUUGCACUCCCUCUAUGCCAUGCCUGCAAGCAUGAUUACUCAUUAUACCCAUGUUCAUUUUUGGUUAGGUUUUUGAAACAUGUAUAUCAUUUAUGUGUGUGAACCAGUGAUGUCCUUUUAAAAAUACAUAUUGUUGUGCAUCGAUUUCUUCA
This is a long non-coding RNA of Triticum aestivum (bread wheat), 2208 nucleotides long. RefSeq lists it as uncharacterized. The transcript is spliced from 4 exons. The record is from RefSeq and is a predicted model, not a curated record. Lineage: Eukaryota; Viridiplantae; Streptophyta; Magnoliopsida; Poales; Poaceae.